Long non-coding RNA from Marmota monax (woodchuck), 411 nucleotides. RefSeq lists it as uncharacterized. The transcript is spliced from 3 exons. NCBI's taxonomy places the organism in Eukaryota, Metazoa, Chordata, Mammalia, Rodentia, Sciuridae. The record is from RefSeq and is a predicted model, not a curated record.
UGAUCCUCUCUGUAAAAGCUGUACAAGGUAUUCCUGUGAAGGCUAUCUGAGAUAAAAUAUUUUAAAAAAAAUGGUAGCCAUAACUUUUGCUGUGUCUGAAUGUUGCUGAGCAGGAGGGGAAAUAAUGGCAAAGACAAGGAGAAGGCCAAACCCUGGGGUGAGGAGAAGCAACGAGAUGAAAAGCUGUGAGUGUGUGGGUGCUUGGCAGGCAAGCCACUCACAAUGAAUACUCCUGCCGCCCACAUCGAUGCAGAUACCUAUAGCAGAAAUGCAACCACGCUGAGAUUCAGGUAAUGAAGGCUACAGUGGGGAGUUCUACUGUGAUUAAUGGAAGAAAAUGCAGAUGGGGCUGAAUUGAAGCAACAGUGCAAAAUAUGGCUUUAUAAAUAGGGUUGAAAGAAAUUAAAGUGC